RNAcentral lists this ribosomal RNA (253 nucleotides) under uncultured bacterium. Its description in RNAcentral is "partial 16S ribosomal RNA". It matches the Rfam family "Bacterial small subunit ribosomal RNA", at positions 524 to 776 of the family's 1533-position model. The record is from RNAcentral.
UACAGAGGGUGCAAGCGUUGUUCGGAAUUAUUGGGCGUAAAGCGCGUGUAGGCGGCUUAGCAAGUCGGGCGUGAAAGCCCUCGGCUCAACCGAGGAAGUGCACCCGAAACUGCUGAGCUUGAGUGCCGGAGAGGAUGGCGGAAUUCCCCAAGUAGAGGUGAAAUUCGUAGAUAUGGGGAGGAACACCGGCGGCGAAGGCGGCCAUCUGGACGGUAACUGACGCUGAGACGCGAAAGCGUGGGGAGCAAACAGG